Molecule: unclassified non-coding RNA, 2037 nt
Filed under: Octopus sinensis (East Asian common octopus)
Lineage: Eukaryota; Metazoa; Mollusca; Cephalopoda; Octopoda; Octopodidae
Description: uncharacterized LOC115212371, transcript variant X4
Source: RNAcentral
UGUUGUACUGUACCCAUAUAUAAACAUAUAAAUUCAUGUAUAAAAUAUAAUAUAAAUAGUAUAAUUAUACAUACUAAUAUAUGUGUGCAAUAUAAAUCUCUGUUUUGGAGUCGUUUGAAAACUACUAGAAGAUCGGCUGCUGGAAAACAACGUGGAAAUACAAAGGAUAAGCAACUCUAGGCCAAAGAGAAAAGUCCACCCCUUAAAUUACAUGCUAUAAACCGGGACUACACUGUUACCUUACAUGUUUGGAAGAUACUACAAUAUGAUUUGAAGGACGUGAAAACCAGGAUUCACAAACCUUUAAAAGACCGCUGACCUGAAAACAUUUGAACAACGCAUCAAAUGCAGGGAAAUGUUCUAAAGAUAUUAAAGAGGAAUAUUAUCAUAUUGUGAAGAAAAGGCAACGCGAGGAAAGGAAUCAGCCAUUUGGGAAAGAGCAGAAAGUGGAACACUAUUAAUGGAUGUUAAAGAAUUAAACACCUGAAACUAUUCGAAUUUGUAAAUUUGCAAACAGUCAAAAUAAAAAGAAACAAUUUCUUGUCUUGAUGAGUUCGUCAAGAAAUAUCUAUAACCUAAUCAUAUGCGCAACCAUUUAUUGGUUAUAAACGGAUUCCAAAAAAGAAAGCUUUUUUGUAUAUAUACUUGUAUAUAAAUUUAUAUACACUAAUAUAUAUAUAUGUGUGUGUAUAUCUAUAUGUAAAUAUCUGGAAGACCAUAUAUUCUUGGAAUUAAUAUUAUCUAAGAAAAGUUGGGCAAUGUCAAACUAAAGAAGUUCCUAUCACUGAUGCUAACUAAAAUUGCAGAAACAAAAAUUAUUCCACGCCCUUGUUUAUCUCACUCCUUAACGGCAAUCUCACUCCUAAGUCUCUUAUAAAAGUGUUCAUUCCAGUAUAGGUAUUGUAGUAACCUAUGUCGUUUUAAGCAAAACUCUUCUGUCAAGUCAACUAUCACUGUAACACAAAUUUUCCCCGUUUUACUCUGCUCUAAAAUACUGCUCCAACGUUGCUAGCCAUGAGGCCAGGCAUCCACGCCACUGUGCUGCGAAGUAGGCACCAGCGACACAGACGACAUUAUCCACCAAGAGCGAAUGCCUUUUCAACAAAAAGAUUCCUUAUUCUAGUGUUCCUCGGUUUUUCAGUCUUAAUACCGGGUAUAGCUCUCAGUGUGAUUGGAUUCCAGCCGGAAGAAAAGCACUACUCAGAGGAUCAGAAAAGAAUAUACCGGGUAUUAGGGCCGUCAGCGGUGGUCUGCUCCAUUGGCCUCCUUUUUGCUGCCUCUUUCUACUGUUACUGUUACUUGUCUGUUGAUUCGAGGCUGAAAAGGAAGAAGCAGGAGACACCACCAGAAAAAGAAUAUUCCGUUAAUGCCAGUCUAAAAAACAGUACAUGUUCUGAAAAUAACACAGAUCCAGAUAUAAAUAUGGAAUAUUCUGGGCUGGACUAUAGUGAAGGUGAACAAUGUUUACAGUUUGCUGAUGGGGAGCAAUAACACUGACUUGAUAUCAUUUUAUUAUAAGAGACUUCAGAAGGAGGUUUCCAUCAAAAACAGAUGGCUGUACUGACCACAUCACCAUACAAGUGUGCAUUCUAUGUGGGCUGUGCCAACCAAGACAUGGCUCCCAAUUUAUAAAGUGGAGAGGUCCCUUGAGUAAUUAAAGAUAAAUCUUUUAUAUUCAAAAAAAAAAAUUCUUUUUUGAAAACAACAUUAAAAAAAGAAACAAAAUUUGUUGACAAAAGCAAACAAAAACAAGAAAAAUUAUCAAAAGAAGAUAUGUCUUCUUUUUAAAGUGGAUGAUUUUUCAAUCCUUUACCCAUGAGGCCUUUUAACGCUCCAAUAAUAUCAAUAUGAAAAACUUAUACAUCAAAUAUAACAAAACAUAAAGGAAUUUCCUAAAAUAACAAAUGGCAAAAAAAAGGAAAAAAAAGAAGAAAGCACUGCAAAGACUGACUAAAACUUAUUUAAAAAACAAUACAAAAUCAAAGCAACAACCACAAAAAAAAACUAAUAAAAACUGUCAGUAUCGCAGCAGUCAAG